UCUCCGUUGGUGAACCAGCGGAGGGAUCAUUAUCGAGUUUAUAACUCCCAAACCCUAUGUGAACUUACCACUUGUUGCUUCGGCGCGCACUUCGGCGCCGCCGAGGACACUUAAACUCUUUGUUUUUAUAAGCAUUUCUGAGUGGCCGAAAGGCAAAAUACAAAUGAAUCAAAACUUUCAACAACGGAUCUCUUGGUUCUG
Molecule: unclassified non-coding RNA, 201 nt
Filed under: plant metagenome
Description: partial contains small subunit ribosomal RNA, internal transcribed spacer 1, and 5.8S ribosomal RNA
Source: RNAcentral